AAUAAUCUUAUUUUCGUUUUUUCGCGUCCAAACGUUUGACCAUUCGUCUUAUUUAAAAAAUUUUGUACAAAAAUUUUAAAAAAUUAGUCACGUAUAAAGUACUAUUUAUAUUUUAUCAUCGAGUAAUGAUAAAAAUAUUAAUCGUAAAAUUUUUUUAAAUAAGACGAAUGGUUAAACGUUGGAUAGAAAAAA
This is a non-coding RNA of Oryza brachyantha (malo sina), 192 nucleotides long. The record is from Rfam. NCBI's taxonomy places the organism in Eukaryota, Viridiplantae, Streptophyta, Magnoliopsida, Poales, Poaceae.